RNAcentral lists this ribosomal RNA (253 nucleotides) under uncultured bacterium. Its description in RNAcentral is "partial 16S ribosomal RNA". It matches the Rfam family "Bacterial small subunit ribosomal RNA", at positions 524 to 776 of the family's 1533-position model. The record is from RNAcentral.
UACAGAGGGUGCAAGCGUUGUUCGGAAUUAUCGGGCGUAAAGCGCGUGUAGGCGGCUUUGCAAGUCGGGUGUGAAAGCCCUCAGCUCAACUGAGGAAGUGCGCCCGAAACUGCAGAGCUUGAGUGCCGGAGAGGGUGGCGGAAUUCCCCAAGUAGAGGUGAAAUUCGUAGAUAUGGGGAGGAACACCGGUGGCGAAGGCGGCCACCUGGACGGUAACUGACGCUGAGACGCGAAAGCGUGGGGAGCAAACAGG